UUAUCUUCAUCAUUUUGGGGGCCUUCCAAUGCAUUAUUAUUAUUAUUAUUCUCAGCCAUUUUGUGAUGAAAUUUGGUCAAAUUGAGGUUUCUUUGCAAAUCUACCAAACCGAUCACGAUAUCUCAUAAACAAAAUAAAGAAGCAACAAAUAAAUAAAUAAAAACUAAACUAAUUUUUUAAAUUAUAUAUAAAAAAAAAAACUAAGACAAAAGCAAACAAAAAAACACCAAAAAUAAAAACAGAAAGGAAAAUUUGAGUUUGAUAAGCCUUACCGAAUUAGCUUUUGGAAACUAAAACCGCAAAUCUUAACAAUGAAUUUCUUUGUGCUACUUUUCGCUUCACCGC
Molecule: long non-coding RNA, 345 nt
Filed under: Prunus persica (peach)
Lineage: Eukaryota; Viridiplantae; Streptophyta; Magnoliopsida; Rosales; Rosaceae
Description: long non-coding RNA (PPER_LNC005082)
Source: RNAcentral